AAUCGAAUAAUGCACGUAUGUGGUGCACGUUGAUGGACUUUCCGACGAAUCUACGUUUGUGGACGACGUCGGUGGUUCGUAAUGAAGACGCGACACGCGGAGGCUUUCGAUCGAGUGUAGUAAACAUGCAAUGAUUUCGACGCUUGAUGGUUGGGAGUCUUCGGUCGUGACAUGGGCGUGGCGACGAACUGCCACUCUUCCCCUCGGGAAGACUACAUUUUUCU
RNAcentral lists this unclassified non-coding RNA (224 nucleotides) under uncultured Paraglomerales. RNAcentral describes it as "sequence contains ITS2". The record is from RNAcentral. Lineage: Eukaryota; Fungi; Glomeromycota; Glomeromycetes; Paraglomerales.